AGCGAACGCUGGCGGCAGGCCUAACACAUGCAAGUCGAACGGACCCUUCGGGGUUAGUGGCGGACGGGUGAGUAACACGUGGGAACGUGCCUUUAGGCUCGGAAUAGCUCCUGGAAACGGGUGGUAAUGCCGAAUGUGCCCUUCGGGGGAAAGAUUUAUCGCCUUUAGAGCGGCCCGCGUCUGAUUAGCUAGUUGGUGAGGCAAUGGCUCACCAAGGCGACGAUCAGUAGCUGGUCUGAGAGGAUGACCAGUCACAUUGGGACUGAGACACGGCCCAAACUCCUACGGGAGGCAGCAGUGGGGAAUCUUGCGCAAUGGGCGAAAGCCUGACGCAGCCAUGCCGCGUGGAUGAUGAAGGUCUUAGGAUUGUAAAAUCCUUUCACCGGUGAAGAUAAUGACUGUAGCCGGAGAAGAAGCCCCGGCUAACUUCGUGCCAGCCGCCGCGGUAA
Molecule: ribosomal RNA, 449 nt
Filed under: uncultured bacterium
Lineage: Bacteria
Description: partial 16S ribosomal RNA
Rfam family: Bacterial small subunit ribosomal RNA
Source: RNAcentral